RNAcentral lists this ribosomal RNA (253 nucleotides) under uncultured bacterium. Its description in RNAcentral is "partial 16S ribosomal RNA". It matches the Rfam family "Bacterial small subunit ribosomal RNA", at positions 524 to 776 of the family's 1533-position model. The record is from RNAcentral.
UACAGAGGGGGCAAGCGUUGUUCGGAAUUACUGGGCGUAAAGGGCGCGUAGGCGGCCUGUUAAGUCGAACGUGAAAUCCCCGGGCUCAACCCGGGAACUGCGUCCGAUACUGGCAGGCUUGAAUCCGGGAGAGGGAUGUGGAAUUCCAGGUGUAGCGGUGAAAUGCGUAGAUAUCUGGAAGAACACCGGUGGCGAAGGCGGUGGUCUGGGCCAAAACUGACGCUGAGGAGCGAAAGCCAGGGGAGCAAACGGG